AGACGGAGGGCGCAAGCGUUGUUCGGAAUUAUUGGGCUUAAAGGGUGCGUAGGCGGCGCGGUAAGUGAGGUGUGAAAGCCCACGGCUCAACCGUGGAAUUGCGCUUCAUACUGCCGUGCUAGAGGGAGACAGAGGUAAGCGGAACUGAUGGUGGAGCGGUGAAAUGCGUUGAUAUUAUCAGGAACACCGGUGGCGAAAGCGGCUUACUGGGUCUCUUCUGACGCUGAGGCACGAAAGCUAGGGUAGCGAACGGGAUUAGAAACCCCGGUAGUCC
This 274-nucleotide ribosomal RNA is filed under the name uncultured bacterium. Its description in RNAcentral is "partial 16S ribosomal RNA". It matches the Rfam family "Bacterial small subunit ribosomal RNA", at positions 523 to 796 of the family's 1533-position model. The record is from RNAcentral.